ACUCAAAGGAAUUGACGGGGGCCCGCACAAGCGGCGGAGCAUGUUGCUUAAUUCGACGCAACGCGAAGAACCUUACCAAGGUUUGACAUACAGGGAAAAGCCGUAGAGAUAUGGUGUCCGUAAGGGUCCUGUACAGGUGGUGCAUGGCUGUCGUCAGCUCGUGUCGUGAGAUGUUGGGUUAAGUCCCGCAACGAGCGCAACCCUCGUUCUAUGUUGCCAGCGGAUAAUGCCGGGGACUCAUAGGAGACUGCCGGGGUCAACUCGGAGGAAGGUGGGGAUGACGUCAAGUCCUCAUGCCCCUUAUAUCUUGGGCUGCAAACAUGCUACAAUGGCCGGUACAGAGGGCUGCGAAAUCGCAAGAUGGAGCGAAUCUCAAAAAGCCGGUCUCAGUUCGGAUUGGGGUCUGCAACUCGACCCCAUGAAGUCGGAGUCGCUAGUAAUCGCGAAUCAGCAACGUCGCGGUGAAUACGUUCCCGGGCCUUGCACACACCGCCCGU
This 497-nucleotide ribosomal RNA is filed under the name uncultured bacterium. RNAcentral's name for it is "partial 16S ribosomal RNA". It matches the Rfam family "Bacterial small subunit ribosomal RNA", at positions 899 to 1397 of the family's 1533-position model. The record is from RNAcentral.